This 342-nucleotide long non-coding RNA is filed under the name Elaeis guineensis (African oil palm). Its description in RNAcentral is "long non-coding RNA (EGUI_LNC055432)". Lineage: Eukaryota; Viridiplantae; Streptophyta; Magnoliopsida; Arecales; Arecaceae. The record is from RNAcentral.
GAUUAUGAUGAACCCCAAAGAUUAGGAUAAUAAUUUUAGGAGACAUGAAUUGGUCAUGCUAGUAAGAUCUAAAAUCUUAAAAUUCUAAUAUUAAAUAUUUCUGGUCGUAGGAGCAUUGAGUCAGGGAUCAAUAUUCCGGAUAGACUGGUACAUCCUAUGUAUACUCAAUGGAGAGGGUGGCAGAUCUCACUAGCCACUUGUGUGAGACACUAAUACAAGGAUGUGGGUGCUCAUUUAAGAAAUGAGUCUACUGAAUUGACUUGAUAAAAGAGAACAUCUUAUGGAAGCCUUAUUUGCAUGUCAAAGAUGGUUCUCUAAGUGGGACUUGUGCAAGUGACCCUU